RNAcentral lists this ribosomal RNA (633 nucleotides) under Rhodococcus qingshengii. Its description in RNAcentral is "bacterial SSU rRNA". It matches the Rfam family "Bacterial small subunit ribosomal RNA", at positions 99 to 746 of the family's 1533-position model. Lineage: Bacteria; Bacillati; Actinomycetota; Actinomycetes; Mycobacteriales; Nocardiaceae. The record is from RNAcentral.
CGAACGGGUGAGUAACACGUGGGUGAUCUGCCCUGCACUUCGGGAUAAGCCUGGGAAACUGGGUCUAAUACCGGAUAUGACCUCAUAUCGCAUGAUGGGUGGUGGAAAGAUUUAUCGGUGCAGGAUGGGCCCGCGGCCUAUCAGCUUGUUGGUGGGGUAAUGGCCUACCAAGGCGACGACGGGUAGCCGACCUGAGAGGGUGACCGGCCACACUGGGACUGAGACACGGCCCAGACUCCUACGGGAGGCAGCAGUGGGGAAUAUUGCACAAUGGGCGAAAGCCUGAUGCAGCGACGCCGCGUGAGGGAUGACGGCCUUCGGGUUGUAAACCUCUUUCAGCAGGGACGAAGCGCAAGUGACGGUACCUGCAGAAGAAGCACCGGCUAACUACGUGCCAGCAGCCGCGGUAAUACGUAGGGUGCAAGCGUUGUCCGGAAUUACUGGGCGUAAAGAGUUCGUAGGCGGUUUGUCGCGUCGUUUGUGAAAACCAGCAGCUCAACUGCUGGCUUGCAGGCGAUACGGGCAGACUUGAGUACUGCAGGGGAGACUGGAAUUCCUGGUGUAGCGGUGAAAUGCGCAGAUAUCAGGAGGAACACCGGUGGCGAAGGCGGGUCUCUGGGCAGUAACUGACGC